GACGAACGCUGGCGGCGUGCUUAACACAUGCAAGUCGAACGGAAAGGCCCUGCUUUUGUGGUUUUCUCGAUUGGCGAACGGGUGAGUAACACGUGAGUAUCCUGCCCUUUACUUUGGGAUAACUCCAGUAAACUGGGGCUAUUACCGCGUAUGAGCUCCUGCUGCAUGGUGGGUGUUGGGGAGUUUCGUCGGUUGGGGAUGGACUCGCGUCUCGUCAGCUUGUUGGGGGGGUAGGGUCUUACCAAGGCUUGGACGGGUAGCCGGCCUGGGAGGGUGACCGGCCACAUUGGGAUUGAGAUACGGACCAGACUCCUACGGGAGGCAGCAGUGGGGAAUAGUGCACAAUGGGCGGAAGCCUGAUGCAGCAGCGCCGCGUGCGGGAUGACGGCCUUCGGGUUGUAAACCGCUUUCGCCUGUGACGAAGCGUGAGUGACGGUAAUGGGUAAAGAAGCACCGGCUAACUACGUG
Molecule: ribosomal RNA, 468 nt
Filed under: uncultured bacterium
Lineage: Bacteria
Description: partial 16S ribosomal RNA
Rfam family: Bacterial small subunit ribosomal RNA
Source: RNAcentral